Molecule: transfer RNA, 90 nt
Filed under: Caryophanales bacterium
Lineage: Bacteria; Bacillati; Bacillota; Bacilli; Caryophanales
Also listed under: 3 other names
Description: Bacillales bacterium tRNA-Gln
Rfam family: tRNA (bases 26-82)
About the family: Transfer RNA (tRNA) molecules are approximately 80 nucleotides in length. Their secondary structure includes four short double-helical elements and three loops (D, anti-codon, and T loops). Further hydrogen bonds mediate the characteristic L-shaped molecular structure. tRNAs have two regions of fundamental functional importance: the anti-codon, which is responsible for specific mRNA codon recognition, and the 3' end, to which the tRNAs corresponding amino acid is attached (by aminoacyl-tRNA synthetases). tRNAs cope with the degeneracy of the genetic code in two manners: having more than one tRNA (with a specific anti-codon) for a particular amino acid; and 'wobble' base-pairing, i.e. permitting non-standard base-pairing at the 3rd anti-codon position.
Source: RNAcentral
AGCCCGGUAGCAUUAUUAAAUACCGAAUGUAGCGGACAAGCAUAGAGGCCUUUGGAGCCUUUGACCCCAGUUCGAAUCUGGGCCGGGCUA